AAUGGUGAGCAUGAUCUGGCUGUGACAUCUGUUACCCCAUUGAUCACCAGAGUGGAUUCAGCUGAUCUGGCUGGAUAGCCGUGUGACCCCUUCCAACCUCACCACCCUUUGUGCAUCUCUCUUGAAGCUGUGUGCUAGCUUGGUCAAAGAGGACAAGCACCCCGGAUAGAGGAGGGCCGUUUCCUUGGUGAAGGGUAUACGAAAAGCUGCGCUCCCUUGCUAGAACCUCCAAACAAGCUCCCAAGCUAUAUGCCAAAGAGCACACCAUUCUUAGUUUAUGAAAAAUUAUUUUGAGUGCUCUAA
This 303-nucleotide small nuclear RNA is filed under the name Chinchilla lanigera (long-tailed chinchilla). Its description in RNAcentral is "7SK RNA (ENSCLAG00000021768.1)". It matches the Rfam family "7SK RNA". From Rfam's summary of the family: 7SK was discovered as an abundant small nuclear RNA in the mid-70s but a possible function has only recently been suggested. Two independent studies have found that 7SK RNA binds the CDK9/cyclin T complex (known as elongation factor P-TEFb). P-TEFb activates transcription by phosphorylating the C-terminal domain of RNA polymerase II. The record is from Rfam by way of RNAcentral. Lineage: Eukaryota; Metazoa; Chordata; Mammalia; Rodentia; Chinchillidae.